RNAcentral lists this ribosomal RNA (253 nucleotides) under uncultured bacterium. RNAcentral describes it as "partial 16S ribosomal RNA". It matches the Rfam family "Bacterial small subunit ribosomal RNA", at positions 524 to 776 of the family's 1533-position model. The record is from RNAcentral.
UACGGAGGGUGCAAGCAUUAAUCGGAUUUAUUGGGCGUAAAGGGCGCGUAGGCGGAGAUAAAAGUCAGAUGUGAAAUCCUGGGGCUCAACCUCAGAACUGCAUUUGAAACUUUAUCCCUAGAGGAUAGGAGGAGAAAACGGAAUUCCACAAGUAGCGGUGAAAUGCGUAGAUAUGUGGAAGAACACCGGUGGCGAAGGCGGUUUUCUAUCUUAUUCCUGACGCUGAGGCGCGAAAGCAAGGGGAUCAAACAGG